Molecule: ribosomal RNA, 931 nt
Filed under: uncultured bacterium
Lineage: Bacteria
Description: bacterial SSU rRNA
Rfam family: Bacterial small subunit ribosomal RNA
Source: RNAcentral
AGAGUUUGAUCAUGGCUCAGAACGAACGCUGGCGGCGUGCCUAACACAUGCAAGUCGAACGCGAAAGGGGGCAACCCCCGGUAGCGUGGCAGACGGGUGAGUAACACGUGGGUAACCUACCCGGAGGUGGGGGAUAACCCUUCGAAAGGAGGGCUAAUACCGCAUAAUACCGUGGGGACCUCGGUCCUUGCGAUCAAAGCUGGCCUCUGUUUACAAGCUAGCGCCACCGGAUGGGCCCGCGCCCCAUUAGCUAGUUGGUGAGGUAACGGCUCACCAAGGCGACGAUGGGUAGCCGGCCUGAGAGGGCGAUCGGCCACACUGGAACUGCGACACGGUCCAGACUCCUACGGGAGGCAGCAGUGAGGAAUCUUGCGCAAUGGGCGAAAGCCUGACGCAGCGACGCCGCGUGGAGGAUGAAGGUCUUCGGAUUGUAAACUCCUGUCGAGUGGGACGAAUGCCGUGAGGGUGAAUACCCCUUGCGGUUGACGGUACCGCUGGAGGAAGCCCCGGCUAACUCCGUGCCAGCAGCCGCGGUAAUACGGAGGGGGCUAGCGUUGUUCGGAAUCAUUGGGCGUAAAGGGCGCGUAGGCGGCAGAUCAAGUCGGAGGUGAAAUCCCUCGGCUCAACUGAGGAAUUGCCUUCGAUACUGUUCGGCUUGAGUCCUGGAGAGGGUAGCGGAAUUCCCGGUGUAGCGGUGAAAUGCGUAGAGACCGGGAAGAACACCAGUGGCGAAGGCGGCUACCUGGACAGGUACUGACGCUGAAGCGCGAAAGCUAGGGGAGCAAACAGGAUUAGAUACCCUGGUAGUCCUAGCUGUAAACGAUGGGCACUUGGUGUUGCGGGUAUCGACCCCUGCAGUGCCGAAGCUAACGCAUUAAGUGCCCCGCCUGGGGAGUACGGUCGCAAGGCUGAAACUCAAAGGAAUUGACGG